RNAcentral lists this ribosomal RNA (305 nucleotides) under uncultured bacterium. RNAcentral describes it as "bacterial SSU rRNA". It matches the Rfam family "Bacterial small subunit ribosomal RNA", at positions 333 to 636 of the family's 1533-position model. The record is from RNAcentral.
GCCCUCCUACGGGACGCAGCAGUGAGGAAUAUUGGUCAAUGGGCGAGAGCCUGAACCAGCCAAGUCGCGUGAGGGAAGACGGUCCUAUGGGUUGUAAACCUCUUUUGUCGGAGAACAAAACCCGGGACGUGUCCCGGACUGCGUGUAUCCGAAGAAAAAGCAUCGGCUAACUCCGUGCCAGCAGCCGCGGUAAUACGGAGGAUGCGAGCGUUAUCCGGAUUUAUUGGGUUUAAAGGGUGCGUAGGCGGUCCGUUAAGUCAGCGGUAAAAUUGCGGGGCUCAACCCCGUCGAGCCGUCGAAACUGG